Long non-coding RNA from Heterocephalus glaber (naked mole-rat), 1856 nucleotides. The record is from Ensembl. NCBI's taxonomy places the organism in Eukaryota, Metazoa, Chordata, Mammalia, Rodentia, Bathyergidae.
CUUAGAUAAUGUAAAACUUAGUAGCAAUAAAACAAAAGUUAAGUUGAAAGCUUGAGGCUCAUUCAGAGGUAAUACUGGCAAAGAUCUAAUUCAUGGAAAAACUGAUAAGAUAUAUAAAGAAAAGAGAUAUUAAAGAAGACUUCUGGUGUUUUGAAUUAAGUGAAAAAUUAAAAGAGGUCUCAUUUUCAAUACCUGUUUCCAACAUCAUAAGAGGGUAAAAAUCAUAGAGAAGAAAAGAAUAUUUCCAUUUAUAUAAGCAGCUACUAAGUACAGAUAUGACACUGGGUGGUAUCUUAUUUAUAUUGUUCAAUUAGAGUUUUUAGAAAGCCUACGAAAAUAGGUGGUAACAUCCUAUGUUGCAGUAGAGAUGGGGGACUCCAGAACGAAGAAACUCGAUUUCUUGUCAAGUAUUUGGGAAGCUCAGUCACAGAGCCUACUUCCUGCUGGCUAAACGUCCAUACCAGGACUUGAUAAUUUCCUCUAAAUCAAUGAGGGCAGAGGAGAUGCCACCAUGAACAACGUUCCUGGGCACUGGUUUUACAUCUUCACAUUUUUGCUAUCUGCACAAAUAGCAUUUUGCUAUAAUCCCUUUCCUAAGAGGAAUAGAGUUUAGCAGUUUCUGAAUUAUCAUUGUGUAAAUUGAAUACUUUUUAUUUAAACUCAAUCCCUACAAAUUAUGGUGACACAUGAAUGCCUGUAUUAUGACCUGGACCCAGCAACAGAAGAAGAAACCAGAAAGGACAUUUAAAAUGUUUCUCCAAGAUGCAAACACAGUCUCUGCCUUGCUUUGGAGGUCACCUUACAUUGGCAUUGAUUCUCUCCCCCCCCCCCCAUUCUCCACCCCACCUCUUUUUGAGUUUUUAUUUGGAGGGAGGGAUGUUCCCUCCCAGUGUUGGAGAUCGAACCCAAGAAUCCAUACACAGUAAGAAAGCAUUCUAUCUCUGAUCUACAUCCCCAAUUAGCUUUAUCUUGGGGUAGUCUCACUCACACAAACUUAAAUACUCACAGAACUUCCCUCUGCUGCUACCUAAUCAAACACUACACCAUUUAUUACAAGCCCAAUAUGUGAAAAUAAUAGCUUGUACAUGAGUAGCAGACAGCAGAAAUAAUUUUUGUAAAAUAACAGUCAUCUCUAGAUUAUUCAUGGGAGCUUCUUCUUUUUAUAUCCUAUCAGUGACUCUGGAUAAUAUCCUUAAGCUAAUUUAAUUUUCCCUUUGGGCCUAGCCCAAUGGAGUGGUCAAAAAGAGGAUACACUAAGCCUGCAAUGAAGGAGCUCUAGAUCAGGGUGGGUGUUAAGAGAAAAGGAGCCCCUCCAAAUGUCAAUAUAAAUGCUGCAUAUUCCAAAUGUUUGGGCUGGAUUCAUGGAAUAUACAGUCUAAAAUAUAUUCAUGGACCAUAAUAAAGAGAGAAUUUCUAACAUUAUAGUAAGACUAAAACACUUUAUCAUUACUCUGCAGUUAUAGUUUAAAUUUUGUCUCCCCUCACCCUACACCCAACUUGUAUGUUGAAGUCCUAACCACCCCCCCAAUACCUUAGAAUAGGACUAUAUUUGGAGAUGGUGCUAUUACAGGGAAAAUUAAGGUAAAGUGAGAUCAGAUGGGCCAUAACCCAGUACAACUAGUGUCCUUAUAAAACAAGACUAGGACACAGAGGACUCACAGACUCAGGGGUAACUAUGUGAAGAGACCAUGAGAAGGCAGCCAUGGCAAGCUGCAAAGAGGCCUCCAAAGGAACCAAAUCUCCUAACACCUCUGCCUUGGACUUAUAUAUUCUCGAACUGUGAGAAAACAAACUUCUGUUGUUUAAGAUGCCCAGCCUGUGGAAUUAUGUUAUGACCGCCCCAACAAACUAAUUCA